CAAAAUCAAUACUUAAACAUGACAUAUUACCACAUAUAUCCAAUUAUCCAAACUUACCAAAUUAACCAAAUUCACAUAUAUGCAUAUUUUAUCAAAUGUACUAAUUCAAACCAACCUUCAAUAUACCUAAUAUUUAUCCAUCAUUCAAUCAUUACGAACACACAUCAAAAUAUAUACCCAGUACAAGUCAUUCAAAUGGCUAGUUCCAACAAAACAUUUAUAUGGCAACAUUGGCCAAAUUAACCUAUACAUGUCAUUAUAACCAAAAUUAAUUUACUAUAUAUACUGAAAUGAGCCGAUGGAUAGUGUGGAGUUGCUCCAACCAGCUUCCAACCAAAAUGAGCUUCUGAAUUACUAUAAAACAGGGAAAAUAAUAUAGAGUAAGCAUUUAAUGCUUGGUAAGUUUGUAUAACAUGGAAUCUAACUUACCAUUAUUUCAUAUAUAAGGUAAGCAUACAAGAAAUAUCCAAAUCAACUUGUCCAAAAGCCUAAACACAUAUCCUCAUCAUGUUAGCCAUGUAAACACAUAUAAUAGCCCAUAAACAUGGAUGAACAUAGUUGCCAAACAAUUUCCAUACAUAUAUCAUCCACCUCAUAUUUCAAUAUAUCAUGUAAUAUCAUUUCCAUGUAAUUUCAUGUAUAUACUGAUAACAGUUCAUAUCAAAUUCACAUUUUCUUAUAACAGAACAUUGCCUGUUGAACUGUUUAAAAUAUCGUUGGAUACACGGGUAGUACACAUGAAGUGUACAAAUCUGUAAUCCGUCAAUUCAUAUACAGGUAUGCCCAUACGAGCAUAUAAUUGGGAAGCUCUUUCGAGGCAUGUAACAGGAAGCUGAUGUGAGUUGUAUAAUGGGAAGCUUUUUCGAGCCAAGUAUCGGGAAGCUCAUACGAGCCAUAAACGGAAGCUCAAGAGAGCUAUUAGUCUAGAAGCUCAUGAGAGCCAAAUAUUGGGAAGCUCGUGGGAGCCACAUAACGAGAUGCUUAUAAUGGGACGCUCUUACGAGCUGUGGUGUGUCCGCAACACAUGCAGGACAACAAUUAAUUGGGAACCCUUAAUGACAUGUCAUUUGUAUCCAUUAAAUUUCUAAUGUUCAAACGAGAUUCUACACUUGUUAGAUAUGUAAUCAAUAAUAUACAUGGCAUUUUAUACAAAUCACACACACAACAAUAUUCAAUUCUAAUCAUACAAAUAUACAAUUUAGUUACAUGAACUUUCCUUGACAAUUAUACGUAGAUUUGUAAGCUACUAAACUAAUACUUUUUCUUUUUCUCGAUCCAAUUUCGUACUAGGUCUACCAGAUCUAUAGAAUGAAUUUAGCUUAAUUUAAUACAAUUCAGUCCAAUACACAUCUUUGGAAAAAUUACUAUUUUGCCCCUAAACUUUUAAUAAAUUACAAUUUUUCCCUAGGCUCGAAAAAUAAAAUUCAUACAAUUUAAUCAUUAUUCCAACCUAACUGAUUUUUAUAUAUAACAAUAACAGCUCAUGUAUUUCAUAAAAUUCAUACUUUCUCCAUGAAUUUUCCAUCUUUUCAAUUUAGUCCCUAAAUCAUAAUUUCAUCAAAAUUCUCUUUACAAAAGUUGUUUAUCUAUCAACAACCUUUCAUUUUCUAUCAUAAAAUUUCAUAAUUCAACUAUACUCGUCCAUGGAAAAACCCCAAUACUUUAAUAGUUUUUUAAAUUAAUCCCCGAGAUAGCUAGAUUAAGUUAUUACGAUCUCGAAAAAUAUAAAAAUCAUUAAAAACGGGACAAGAACACAUACCUAACUAAGCCAAAUAAGUUUGCUAGAACUCAACUUCCAUGACUAGGGUUUCCAUGUUUUUAUUUUCGGAAAGAUGAUGAAAAUGAUAUUAAUUUAAUUAUUUAUUUCAUUUAUCAUCAUUAUUUUAUCAUCUUUCCAAAAUUAACCUUAAAAAUUUACUAAAUUCCAAUGAUAAAUAGUCAUCAUUAUCUCCAAUGAUAAAUAGUCAUCAUUAUCUACUAACUCCUCUAAGUAGUUUAUUUACCAUAUAAGGACCUCCAAUUUUAAAUUUCAUAAUUAUUUGAUACUUUUAGCUACUAGAAUUCAACUUUUUCACUUUAUGCAAUUUGGUCCUUUUCAUCAAAUUAGACAUGUGAUUGGUAAAAUUUAUUAACAAAAUUUUUAUACGAUAUUUCUAUCAUUAUGUAGACCAUAAAAUAAUAUUAAAAUAAAUUUUCUUCGGAUCUCAGAUUUGUGGUCCCAAAACCACUGUUUCAAUUUCACUGAAAACAGGCUGUUAUAGCGACGCUGGAGAUGCAUGAAUUGGACCGAGUGAUACGGUAGUUUGAGUGGAGGAAAAAAUUUCUGCCGCCACCACGAGACAUAGAAGCACUGCACAAGUUGGAUCUACGGGGGAAGACCAACGAAAAUUGGCGAGAUUACCACAAGGAGUACAUCGACAUUUGGGAUCAUAGGAUGGAAUUCAUACACAUCUGCAAACCUAUUUUCUCAUCGAACAUGGCCACUUGUUUAGAGUGCAUGCCCUGGUUUAGAGCCUCUGGCAAGCCAUAUUUGCUAUCAGUAGAGGCGAAAAGUAGGCAACUUCGUAAGAGGCCACGACAACCACCCCAGCAACGUAGGUCUGGAGGAGGUACCAUGACGGGUUCAUCCUCGACUUCAACCCAACAAGCGCCACAAUGUCUACACCACAUCUCGGUUAGUUCACUCUACUUAUUCCUAUUCAUUUCACUAACCAAGUAUUUUUUCACAAGUACCACAUUAUGCACCACUGCAAAACCCUGUAUCUACACAUCCUGCAUGCACGUUUUUUGAGGCACCUUCUUUACCAGUAUUUUACUCCCUCAUACCAACGUCGAUGCAUACAUAAAUAUCGAUACAUAUACCGAUGCAUGUACCGACAUCGUUUUCGACACCAAUACCGUUAACAACGUCGACAUAUCCGAAUUUUAUGACAUUAUAUGGUUAUUCCCCUAUAGUGUCACAAACACCCAUUGCGCCAUUUUUUUAUCUAUGUGGGUCAUCAUGCAACCACCUUUUCAUAGAAUGGAGGAGACACAAUGGAAGGCUAAUACGGCACCGCACUUAAGCAUGAAGGAAGGCAAUAAAGAGAAGUUGAAGCCGAGUGUGGAGAUGAAGAUAAAGAAGAUAGUGGAGAUGAAGAUGAGUAUGAGGGUAGAGGUGAAGAUGAAGAAGAUGAUCACGAUGAUCACGAUCAAGAAGAGGAGCAGGCACUACUAGUUGUAUGUAGAAACCCUACGCGCACCCGUCAACCACUACCCUGUAGCACACAUUUGGCCUAACGAUGCCGAUGAUGUAUUUUUCAUUUGCUUAUUGUGAUGUAAAUAUAAAUGACAUCAAUAAAAAACGAUCAAAUUUUUUUAUAUUUUUGUCGCAACUCAUAUUUGUAUUUGUUAAAUUCUCAUGUAAAUUAUACAUAAUUUUUCAUAAAUAAUAUUUUAUAUGAAAUAUGUAACUUUGAAUAGGUAUAUUUAUCAAACUAAUGAUUAAUAAAGGUACAAAUACUAACUCGUAAAAAGGGUAAAAGUUUAAUCGCCAGAGAUAUUGUAAUUGGUACUUGAAGUAGCAUUUAAAGUAGCAAUGUUUUCACUAUAUAAAUGUUAGUAGACGGUGGAAAAUACAAUUGAAAUGCAAAAAAAAAAGAUGUCAGAUAUCUACAUUGCAAGCUCGAAAUUCUUCCCUGGCUCAAACCCUAAACUUUCCUCUUAAUUCUAGUCUGUAGCUCACACAAUUGAAUACUACGUUUAAAAGCCAAUUCCAUGGACUGGGAUCUAACAAAUAAGACCCCAACUUUCGUAUUACAAAUUUAAUUGUCAUAGUAAAUGACGGAUUUCGCUAGUGGACUUAUUUCAAUUUAAAAUGAAUUAGAUAUUUAAAACACAAAAAAAAAUCUUCAAAUGGUUAUCUAAAGAAAUGCAGACAACAAUCGUAGUAAAACUCUUCAAUGUAUAGUAAAUUUUAUGAUUGAUAUUGAAAUAGUAUGGUAUGAGAAAUGAAAGUGAAAUAGUGAUUGGAAAAUAGAAUGUGACAUAUGUUGCAAAUAUAUGAAAUAUGUGAAUUAUAUACUCAUGAAAUGAAUAUAGAGUGGAAAAUGCAAUUGUAUAAUGAAAUGUGAAAUAAAUUGUGAAAAGCUAUUUAUAUAACAAGUAUGAGAAUUAAGAUAUUUGUGAAACAAAUGAAAUAUGAUAUGGUUGUUGAAAUAAUUAAAUAUUAAUAUGUGUUUAUAUUUCAAUAGCAUAUUUGAAAUUUCUUAUCUUUAAAUAUUUGAAUUACAGAAAUACCACUGAUUUUUUACUCAACGUACGGUUUUGUUUCCCGUGCGCAGGUUAGGUACUUAACUUUUGAUCACCGAUUCAACAUCCAAAUGUGGUGAUGUUUAUCCUUUGUGUCGGCAUGUACCUAGGGUGUCUAAAUAAUAGUAAUUUUGUAGGUUGAUUGUAAAUGAGGUUUUAAGUUUAAUUUUGGUUGGUUUUAUACAUAUAAAUAUGUAUUUGUUUUUGAAGCCAUAUUAUGGCAUGGUAAGUUGAACUACAUCUAGAUAGGUGCAUGUGAAUUUAAUUUUAUGUUUAAGUGCUUAUGAACUAGGAAAAUUAAUUUGGAUUUGGUUUGUUUAUAAUUUGGAUUAAAAUGAUGCUUUGAUGACUUGUUUUGAUGAUAUGAAGUGUUUAAAAUUUAUGUCUGUUUGAUCUGUAAACUUCUGUAAUGCUCCGUAACCCGAUUUUGGUGAGAGAUACGGGUUGAGGGUGUUACAGUUAAUGGUAUCGGAGCUUUUCUGGUUUAGUCAAUUCUCAGACUAAAUCUAGCUUGGAAUUGAGUCUAGAGGUACAUGCCAUAAUUGAGUCGAAUUGAGCAGGGAUUUGAAUGCUGAUAUAUUUGUUUUUUGUUUUAUAGUGAAAAUGUCGAAUGAUUAUAAUGAUUAUGUUGAUGAUAAAUGUAAUGUUAUACAUGUGUAUAUAUGAGUGUCAAAUUUUAAGGCUUUACUACAUUCACCCCUCACCGUACAGUCUUAUACAACGAAACUUACAAGAUUUAGAUUCAUUAAGCUUACAAGUGUGAAACUGAAGAGCUCAAUAGCUGUAUGCAUAAUAAUGCCGCAAGAGUUGAGGAUGGGUUAGUAAGUAAAGAGAGUUCUAGAAGAGAUAUCAGAUUUUUCUGAAUAUUAUUCGAGAUACGCAAAGUCACUAUUAAUGAAGAAGUUAUUCACGAGUAAUCGACUUAUUCAGGUAUGGUAUUUAAAGAAUGAGUCAACCAGAAUUUCUUUUAAAUUGAUUUCUUUAGUGAUUAGGAUAAUGUGGGAUCAUUGAUGAUUGUAGUAGUCAGUGGGAUAGUGUUGAAAUUGCAAAGAUAUCUGAAUGCAGCUGUUAUAGUUGAGUAUCUUAUAGUGACCUCUUCUGGGUAUUCUAUAUGUUCAUUUAUUCUCAGAGGUAUAUGUAAUAAUUCAUCUUCAGAGGUGAUUCUUAUCGUAAGAUAACGUUAGCUAAUCAUAAUGUUAGACUAAAUUAUUUUUAGUUUGGUUGAUUCAUGAUCGACAUUACUCUAUCUUUCUUUGGUUUUCUAAUUCAUUAUGUUAGAUAGAAGACUUAAUGAUAAGACUCAUAUGAAGCUAUUUUCUACUUCUACUGGUUGAUGUUCUGAAUUACAUAUAUGCAAUUUACAUUAUCUCUAUCACAACUGUUUCUAGUGCGUAUGAGCGAUCUUCUUCUUCUAGACUUUCUCUAGGAUAUCAUCGAUCUUUUUAUCAUUCAAUGUGGUUUUUACUCUUAAAAAUUCAGUAUAGCUUCACAUCUUGGAUUUCAUCAUCUCGGUUUUCUUAUCAUUCUUAUUGUUUAAUUUAUCAAACAUGAUUUAUUUGUAAAAGAUAUUUAUUGGCCAGAGGUAAUUACAUUUAUUACUGUUAUAUAUCCUGGUUCGAUCAUGGGAGCGCGGUGAUAUGGAUCUCAGAUUAUAGAAGUUGUAUUACUGCACUGGCUGUUAUUGGGACUACUUUUGGUUUUCCUCUUCAAUUUUGGGGUGCACUAUUGAUGUUGAGGUAUUGUUCUAUCUAUAAAGUUGAAACGUUUGUCCUAUUAUAGCACUAUGAUUUUUAAUCUAUUUGAUGGUUGUGGCUCUAGUAUAGUUCAAAGCUUCGAUGUUAAUAAUUGAAAUAGCUUUAUUAUAUAUAAUCCCUUUCUAGCUUUUGUAAAAGGGUUGACAUCAGCAAAACAGUAGACGGUGGAAGAUUGAGAUCAAACUUGUAUAUUGGUUUUCAUUCCUCAGGUAAUCUUGAUUAAUGUCAAUAAGUUAAAACGGGAUGUUAUGUUUCGUUUAAGUUAAUGCAGUUUUUAAGGAUCUUUGAUUAGUAUUAUGAGGGAAUUGUGAUAGAUUGUAUGUCUGGGUUGUCUUGACAACAAGAAGAAGGGAUUAUUCUGAAAUGCCAUUAUCUGAUAGAUAAAAUCGACUCAGUUUUUUAAAUCAAAGUGGGUUAUUCAUUGAAAGUUAAUUGAGUUAAACAUAUUUGAAUCUAUCCUCAGGUCCGAGAAUAAAUUUUGUGCAUUCAUAGGUAAAUAGACGAACAGUCAGAACGAAAAAUUCAAAUUCUAGAAGACUUGAUACAGAAAUAUAUGUAUUAGGUCAGUUCUAAUUGGGAAAUGUCACUAUAGGAUAAAGUCGUACUGAUUGUUGAAAUUAUCGCACUUGUGUAAAAUGAUAUUUUUUGACGCUUUACUGGAAAAAAGGGGAACAAACAUUAGUUGGAAGUUACAGAUGCAACCACAUCAGAAGCAUCAGUCAGAGUUUGAUAAUCCAGGUUUUUCGAUAAUGUUUCGACAGACGAUUACUAAGAAUUUCUUGGUAAUUAUACUACUAAUGAUAAAGUGAUGAUAGGAGAACAUCAGAGCUACUCUGUUAAGUUCAGGUAUAGUUUUAAGUUCUAAAAUGAGUUCUGAUAUGAGUUCAGAAAUUAUAUGAGCUAUGAUUGAUUUUUAUAGAAUUCAAUUGAAAAUGUGGAAGAAAGAUUUGAUUUAAUAGUUGAUAAACCGUAAUUUAUACAUAGUUUUAUCCCAUGCUUAGCCCAUUUAUGAAUGGUUUCUCCUUAGAUUUGGUGAAUUCGAUGCUCCUAAUCCUUUAAUUUCAUGUUUUAUACUUAGGUAAGCAUAGGAGAUUAAAAAGAGCGAGAAAUAGGCCGAAAAUGAAGAAAAUGGACCCACGUGGGACAUCAACACAGCCAGGACUUCCUCACACGGGUGUGUCACAGGGUCGUGUCCAUUUGGCAGGAUUGAAGCACGACUUACACGGGUAGACUACACGUCCGUGCCUAUUCAACAACCUUGACCACAGGCUGGAGUAAUCGCACACGGACGUGUCCCUACCGAGCCCAAGUAUAGUCCUAUUCAGAAAAGGUCAAUUUUUAAGGCUCUUGGGCAUUCAAAAGCCUAUUUAAACACCUGAUGAGGCACUUAAGAGGAGAGACGCAGAGUAGGAAGCAAGGAAUUACUCAAGGAAAGCCGAUUGAUUCAUCUCAGAAGCUAGAUUCAUCAUCAAGAUUGAAGAUCUCCCUUCAAGUUUCUUCAAGAGUUUUGGGUUUUCUUAUGUUUUGUUAUCUUUAUGCUUUUGAGAUGUUUUCUUUCAUAAGUAUGAACUAAACCCCCUAAAUACCUAAGGGGAAUGAAACCUAAGACGGAUCUUGUUAUUAUUAUCUGAAUUGUAUGAUAAAUAUUUGACUUGUUCUUAAUUAUGUGCUCUUAAUUCUUGUUUUAAUAUUCCAGGAUAUUGAUUCAAGUUAAGCUCUUAUUCAGAGGAGGAAUAGACCCUGUCUGAGAGUAAAAUUUUCAUAAUUAAGCGGAGUUGAUUGCGCACCUAGAGAUAGGGUGACAAGAUUUUGCCGAAUUAGGGUGAAACCUAAUAAGGGAAUUAAUAGAUCGAGUUAAUGCAAUUCUGGGGUGUUAAUUAGAAAGAGAUUUCAAUUAUUCAACCUAGGAUUAGACGUUAUUAGUCUCGAAAGAGAUAAUAAUAUAACUUAGGGAUUUCUACGGAUCAAGUCAAAUGAAUAAAUCGUCUGAUUCAGAGUCAAAUAACAAGUAAAGUCUAGGUAGAUUUUCCUUAGGUAUUGUCUUAAUCAAUCGAAUUUUCCCAAAAGUAUUUUCCCAAAUUUUCUUUCUGUGAAUUCUUAGUUUAGUAAUUAGUUUAGAUAACCAAACCUCUUAAUUUUUAGGCUAGAUAAUAAAAAAGAAGUAAAUACUAGUACUCGUGGUUCUUUUGGGUUCGACAAUUCGGUCUUGCUGAAGUAUACUACUGUUCGAUAGGUGCACUUGACUUAAUCGUGAUAAUAAGUUAGUCUCAAGAACGAUUCAUUCAUAAAUCUUUAAAACCUGUCACGAAUAUCACGUACCAAGUUUUUGGCGUCGUUGUUAGGGAACUAGGAUAUUAGGAACACUCGAUUUUUAUUACUUUAGCCAAUUUACUUUUAUUGCAAUUUAAAUUUUUGUUUUCUUUUCUAAUUCUUUAUUUAUUUUCUUCUGACAGGUUUUUCUAGUUUAUGACCAGAAGAAACCCGUCAGGACCAUUACUGUUUGAUAGUGAGAUCAAUCGCACAGUUUGCAAAAACCGAAGAGAAAUAAGGCGAACCUUACAAUAUACAGAGGAAGAGCAAGAUGACGAUACUUCAACCACAACCGAGGAUAUGGCUGAAAACCAAGAAAAUCCACUACCUCCUGCGAUUGCUGUUAAUUAGAAUCCUGCUCCACGCACUAUGUAUGGUUAUGCUAAACCUUCUUUAACAGGAACUGAAUCGAACAUAGUUAGACCUGUUGUAGCUACAAAUACUUUUGAACUGAAACCUAACACAAUUCAAAUGAUAUAGCAAUUUGUUUGAUGGUUUGUAGGACAAAGAUCCUAAUGCUCACUUGGCAAAAUUCUUAGAGUUUUACGACACUUUUAAAAUCAAUGGCGUUUCUGAUGAUGCCAUUCGCCUUCGGUUAUUCCCUUUUUCAUUGAGGAAUAAGGCUAAACAAUGGUUGAACUCGUUACCACAAGGGUCAAUCACUACGUGGGAACAAAUGAUCGAAAAGUUUUUAUUAAAAUAUUUUUUACUGUCUAAAACAACCAAAUUACGUAAUGAUAUCUCCCCUUUUGUGCAGAUGGAUUUAGAAAUACUCUACGAUGCAUGGGAGAGAUACAAAGACCUUUUACGAAGAUGCCCUCACCAUGGGUUACCACUCUAGCUACAGGUUCAAACGUUUCACAAUGGCCUGAAUCCUUCGACUCGGUGGAUGAUUGAAGCAGCCGCUAAUGGAAAUAUAAAUAAUAAGACACCUGAGGUGGCUUACGAAUUUAUUGAGGAGAUGUCACUGAAUAACUAUCAGUGGCAAGUUAUGAGGACAAAGCCAACGAAAGCAAUCGGUGUUUUCAACCUCGAUGUGGUUACUAUGCUAUCUAACCAAGUAGAACUCUUAAAUAAAAAGAUUGACUGUUUGUGUGGUUCUACUCAGGUUCAUCUAGGGAUGAGAUGCGACUCGAAUGGAGGAGGAGUAUGCACAGAAUAUCAACCCUUCAACCCUAGCAUCGAGGAGGAACAAGUCCAAUAUAUGGGUAACAAUAACUCUAGACUCCAAAAUAACCCGUAUAGUAACACUUAUAAUGCAGGUUGGAAGAACCAUCCCAAUUUUUCGUGGGGUGGUCAAGGAAAUCAAAGGCCACAACAUCCUCCGGGUUUUCAACAACCACCUUACCAGCAGGAAAAUAAGCCAAAACUUGAGGAGAUGUUAACAAAAUUCAUCUCGGUGUCAGAAACUCAUUUCCAGAAUACCGAGACAGCCCUUAAGAAUCAACAAGUGUCAAUCCAAGGACCCGAAACUCAGAUAGGCCAACUCGACAAACUGAUUUCUGAACACCAUAAGGUAGCCUGCCGAGCAACACUGGACCCAACCCAAAAGAGCACGUGAAAGCAGUUACACUAAGGAGUGGGAAAGUGUUAGCUGAAUCUGAAAAGAAGCCACCACAAGAAGCUGACAGAAAGGAGGUCGAACCCGAAAACAAUGACAAUCUAAUGCCAAAAGAAUAUAGACCACCAAUCCCAUACCCAUCAAAGUUGAAGAAAGACUGCAUGGAUACACAAUUCGGUAAAUUUCUUGAACUUUUUAAACAAUGAUAAACCGUAAUUUCUACAUAUUUUUACCCCAUGUAUAACACAUUUUAUGGAUGAUUUCCAUUAGAAUUGGUGAAUUCAAUGCUCUUAAUGCUUUAAUUUCAUGUUUUAUACUUAGGAGAGCAUAAGAGAGUGAAAGGAACAAGAAAUGGGCUAAAAAUGGAGGAAAUGGGUCAAAGUACGAAAUUAACACGGCCUAGACAUCCUCACACGGGCAUACCACACGGCCGUGUCAAUUUGGCAGGCUGGAGCACAGACUAAAGUAAUCGCACACGAGCGUGUCCCUGUCGAGCCCAAGUUGAGUCCAAUUCAGAAAAGGCUAAUUUUGAGGGCUUUUAGGCAUUCUAAAGCCUAUAAAUACAUCCUAGAGGAGGAAGAAAAGGGGGCACACAGAAUAGGGACUAAGGAAUUACACCAAAGAAGCUGAUUGAUCCAUCUCAGAAGCCGGAUUCACCAUCAAGACUGAAGAUCUCUCCUCAAUUUCCCCUUCAGGAGUUUUAGGUUUUCUUUAUGUUUUGUAUUCUUUAUUAUUCUGAGAUGUUUUCUUAUUUAGUUAUGAACUAAAAUCCCUAAAUACCUAAGGGGAGUGAAACCUAAGACGAAUCUUGUUAUUAUUUUCUAAAUUGUAUGAUAAAUAUUUAACUUGUUCUUAAUUAUGUGUUCUUAAUUCUUGUUUUGAUAUCCAAUGAUACUGAUUCAAGAUAAGCUCUUAUUCAGAGUAGGAAUAGGCCCUGUCUAAGAGUACAUUUGUCAUAAUUAAGCGGAGUUGUUUGCGCGCCUAGACAUAGGGUGACAAGAUUUUUUCGAAUUAGGGUGAAACCUAAUAAGGGGAUCCAUAGAUUGAGUUAAUGCAACCUUAGGGUGUUAAUUAGAGAAAGGUUUCAAUUAUUCAAUCUAGAGAUUAGACAUUAUUAGUCUUGAAUAGGGAUAAUAACAUAACUUAGGGAUCUCUACAGAACAAGUUGAAUGAAUAAACCAUUCGAUUCGGAGCCAGAAUAACAAGUAAAGCCUGGGUAGAUUUUUCCUUAGGUAUUGUCUUAAUUCAAUCGAUUUCCCUAAAAGCAAUUCCCCAGUUCUAUUCUCUGUGAAUUCUUAGUUUAGAUAAUUAGUUAGUUAAAAAAACCACUUUAUUCUUAGGCUAGAUAAUAAAAAGACAGUCAUUACUAGUACUUUUAGUUCCUUUGGGUUCGACAAUCCGGUCUUGCUAAAACUAUACUACUGUUCGAUAGGUACACUUGCCUACAUCGCGAUAAUAGUUAGUUUAAAACCUAUCAAGAAAUCACGCGAUCAAACAACUGCAUAUUAAUUUACCUUUUGUUGAAGCUAUAUCGCAGAUGCCUACAUAUGCAAAAUUUUUAAAAGUGCUUCUAACAAACAAAAGGAAGUUUGAAAACUUAUCUACAGUGGAACUUAAUGAAGAGUGCUCAGCCAUACUCUAGAAUAAACUGCCAACCAAACUGAAAGAUACAGGAAGUUUUACUAUUCCCUGUCUAAUUGAUAGUUUGAAUGUUGAUAAAGCACUAGUUGAUUUAGGCGCCAGCAUUAAUGUGAUGCCAUAUAAAAUGUUCAAACAACUUGGUCUUGAGGAAUCUAAACCCCACUAGGAUGAGUAUUCAAUUAGCUGAUAGAUCUGUUAAAUAUCCUAGGGGAAUUAUAGAGGACGUACUUAUAAAAGUAGACAAAUUUAUAUUCUAUGUUGAUUUUGUUGUGCUUGACAUGGAUGAAGAUGUUGAGGUGCCUUUAAUCUUAAUUCGAUCAUUUUUAGCCACUGCUAGGGUUGUAAUUGAUGUGGGUGAUGGUAAAUUGGUACUUAAAGUAGGUGACGAAGAGAUUAUUUUUAAAAUUUAUGAUGCCAUGAGAUUUUCUAAAGAAUAGGAUGACUCAUGUUAUUUUAUCGACUCUAUUAAUCAUGCUACUCAAGAUUCUUUUCAGAAAAUUGUACACAAGGACACGAUGGAACUGUGUCUCACCCAAGGAGAGAAGAUGGAUGAUGAUUCUGAAAUAGGAACCAAACUAAACUCUAAUGAAACCUCCCCAAAACUAGUAAAAUAUGAGGGAAUUAAGGUAAAAGAUGAACUCAAGUAAAAACUCUCUAUUGACGAACCUCCCAAAUUGGAACUUAAACAAUUGCCGAAUCGCUUCGAAUAUGUAUUCCUUGGAAAUAAUUCCACAUUACCGGUAAUUAUUGCAUCUAACUUGCAACCCAAAGAGAAAGAGGAAUUACUCCAAGUAUUAAGAGAGCAUAAAAGGGUCAUAGUUUGGAAAAUUUCUGACAUUAAAGGGAUCAGCCCUUCUUUUUGCACCCAUAAAAUUUUAAUGGAAGAUGAAUAUAAACCAUGCGUGCAAGCCCAAAGACGACUGAACCCCAACAUGAAGGAAGUUGUUAAAGCUGAGGUAAUUAAACUCCUAGAUGCUGAAAUUAUUUAUUCUAUUUUUGACAGUUCUUGGGUGAGUCUAGUGCAGGUUGUUCCUAAGAAAGGAGGCAUGACUGUUGUGGCCAAUGAGAAGAAUGAAUUAAUCCCAACAAGGACAGUCACAGGUUAGAGAGUGUGCAUUGAUUAUAGGAAGCUAAAUGAUGCCACGAGAAAAUACCACUUUCCCCUUCAAUUUGUUGACCAAAUGUUGGAAAGAUUGUCAGGACACAUGUACUACUACUACUUAGACGGACUCCCUGGCUAUUUCCAAAUCCCAAUAACUCUUGAAGAUCAAUAAAAGACAAUAUUUACAUGUCCAUACAGUACGUUUACUUAUCGUAGAAUGCCUUUUGGAUUAUGUAAUGCUCCUGCUACUUUUCAGCGCUGCAUGAUGGCCAUUUUUGAUGAACUCAUAGAAGACUUCAUGGAGAUAUUUAUAGAUGAUUUUUCAGUUUUUGGUAACUCUUUCCAUCUUUGCCUCAAAAAUUUAAAACAAGUGUUAAUAAGAUGUAAGGAAACAAAUCUUGUGCUUAACUGGGAAAAAUGUCGCUUUAUAGUUCAAGAAGGUAUUGCGUUAGGACAUAAAAUUUCUAGUAGAGGGAUUGAGGUUGAUAAAUCUAAAAUUGAAACCAUUGAAAAACUCCCUCUCCUAAUUCAAUUAAGGCUAUUAGAAGCUUCUUAGGACAUGAUGGGUUUUACAGAAGAUUUAUUAAAGACUUUUCUAAAAUAGCUAAACCUUUGACUAAAUUACUAGAAAAAGAUGUGCCUUUUAAUUUCGAUCAGGAGUGUUUAGAAGCAUUUAAUACUUUAAAGGAUAAACAGACUAAAGCUCCAAUUAUAAUUGUACCUGAUUGGAAUUCACCUUUUGAACUAAUGUGCGAUGCGAGCGAUUUUGUAGUAGGUGCAGUUUUGGGACAGCGAAGAGAUAAACAUUUUCAACCUAUCUAUUAUGCUAGCAGGACUUUGACAGCCACACAAGAAAAAUACACCACUGCGGAGAAAGAGCUGCUAGCUGUGGUUUUUGUAUUCGAUAAAUUUAGGUCAUAUUUAAUAUUGUCUAAAGUUUUCGUUUAUACUGACCAUUCUGCUCUUCGCCACCUUUUGACUAAAACUAAUGCAAAACGUCGACACAUUCAAUGGAUCUUAUUAUUGGAGGAAUUUGACUUGGAAAUUAAAGAUAAGAAAGGAGCUGAAAAUCUUGCGACUGACCAUCUCUCCAGGCUUGAAAACUCAAGUACCAAAGAACCAGAUGACAUUGAAAUAAAUGAUUUAUUCCCUGAAGAACAAUUUUUUGCUACAUCUGAUUCUGAGAUACCUUUGUUUGCAGAUAUUACAAAUUUUUUAGCCACUAACAUUAUCCCAAAAGGGUUGACACAUUAGCAAAAGAAGUGAUUCUUCACUAAUGUGAAAAACUACUUCUGGGAAAACCCUUUUUUUUCCGUAAAUGUGCAGAUCAAAUCAUAAGGAGAUGUGUUACAAGGACAGAAGUAUUGAAAAUCUUGGAACAUUGCCACUCAGGACCGACUGGGGGACAUAACGGUGGAAAUAAGACCGCACAUAAAGUCCUCAAAUUAGGUUUUUAUUGGCCCACUCUAUGCAGAGACGCCAAUAGGUAGGUGACUUCUUGUGACAAAUGUCAAAGGAUACGUAAUAUAUCCAAACAUGAUGAAAUGCCUCAGACAUAUAUGCUCUUAUGUGAAAUAUUUGAUGUUUGGGGUAUCGACUUCAUGGAACCAUUCCUUAGUUCCUUCAGGAAUAAAUACAUCUUAGUAGCUGUUGAUUAUAUGUCCAAAUGGGUUAAAGCCCAAGCUUUACCUACUAAUGAUGCUAGAGUAGUAAUACAUUCCUUAAGAAACUUUUCUCUUGAUUUGGUACACCUAGAGCAAUUAUCAGUAAUAGGGGUACUCAUUUUGUAACACCCAAUUUGACAAGAUCCUUAAGAAAUAUGGAGUUCAUCACAGAACAACUACCCCUUAUCACCUUCAAACUAGUGGUUAAGUCGAAGUAGCGAACCGAGAGCUUAAACAUAUCCUGAAAAAGACAGUAAAAUUAAACAAGAAGGAUUGGGUGAUGAAAGUAGAUGAUGCUUUAUGGGCUUAUAGAACUACUUUUAAGACUCCCAUAGGAACAUCACCUUACAGACUUGUUUAUGGGAAAAGUUGUCACCUACCGUUUGAGUUAGAACACAAGGCAUUUUGGGUUAUAAAAUUUCUAAACCUUGACCCCAAACUUGUAGGUGAAAACAGAUUGAUGUAGUUGAACGAGUUAUAUUAGUGGUGAGCCAAUGCAUAUGAAAAUUUGCGCCUAUAUAAGGAAGCGACGAAGCGCUGCCACGACACCCGUUUGAAGCAACAAAGGCAAUUUGAAGUUGGAGAUCUUGUCCUGUUAUAUAACUCAAGGCUCAAAUUGUUUCCUGGAAAGCUUAAAACACGAUGGUUAGGUCCUUUCAUAGUUCCAACUGUGUUUCCAUAUGGCACAGUAGAGGUAAUUCAUCCAUCACAAGGCACUUUUAAGGUAAAUAGACAUCGUCUCAAAAUGUAUAACGGUGAGAAUUUCAAAGAUGAUAAAGAGGAGCUAUGGCUCCAUAAAGUUACCUAAAUAUACCCACAAGGUAGAGUCGAGCUUAGACUAUAAACAAGCGCUUCUCGAGAGGCACUCCGAGAACUAACGGUGUUAACUUCUUUAAAUUUUAGUCUUUAACAUUUAAUUCACUCACUGAGUCACUAAACACAAGAUUUCCAGAACCACACGGCCAGGCACACGGGUAUGUCGUAGGCCAUGCACAUACCAUAAAAUGUAACACGGUCGUGCGAUACGAUCGUGUGAAAACAGAGCAAAAAUGUUUCCCCAACACGGAAUCCUAAAAAGUUGUCAGGCCGUGCAACGUGGCCGUAGGCAAUCUCGCCAAUGUAACACGGGCAAGCGACACGAUCGUGCCCACCAAUCGUGGUCGAGCCUGUCAAAAUAACACGAGCGUGCGCCUACAGAAACGGGCAUGGGAGAAGUGAACGAAGAUUGACACGGCCGUGCAACAUGGCUGUGUACACCAAUGCGCCCAAUUUCGAAAACCAUGAAACGCACGGGUUGAAAUGAAGGCACACGGGCGUGGCCCACGGCCGUGUGCCCCAAUUUCUCUAUAAACACCUAUUAUUUCUUUUAUUUUUAUCUUUAUACUUUGAAAUUACUUUUUAUUUCCUUUUAAUACUAUUUUAUCUUGAGUUUUUACAAUUUUUAGUUAUCUUGAGUUUUUACAAUUUUUAGUUUUGGCUAUUUCAUUACGAGUAAUUAUGUUACAUUAUAUUCCCUAAAAAGUUCCUGAUUCUAUCACAGUUAUAAAGAGCUCCAAAGCUCAUCAUCACAUAGGAACUACAAACUCAACUGGGAAAGGUUCUCCACCACUGCCAUGUCCUGCUUGACCAGGACCAUAGCUACCACCAGAUAUAAUAUUCUUUUGGAGCAGGACUUAUGGACUAAUGAACCUCUACCACCACCGGAGUAUCCUCCUCCACUCUUAUCAUUGUCUUGGCUGAUUAUUCUCCAUAACUCCAAUUCAAAGAGUUCAUUUAUCAUUCAGGAAGUUUCACUUCUCUCCCUAUCUUAUGAUUAUAUAUCUAUCUUUGUACAUUGAGGGCAAUGUAUGUCUUAAGUGUGAGGGGUCUUUUAUAUCAUCAUUAGAAAUCCCUAAAUUUUGUCUUAUUCUCACGUGAAUUACUCAUAUCACUAUUAGAAUGAAUUUUAACUAAUUUAUGAUUUUUAUUGAUGUCUUAAAUUAAAACAUAGGCAAUUAUGCAUUGAUUUGUUAAACUUUAAGACAUUAGGGAAUCAAGCAUGAUAAGUUGAUUUUUGAAGAAUUAAAAACUUUUAGGUUGUUUCCCUAAGUUUAGGUAUUAUCUUGAGUUGAAAUUCACAAGUUUAAACAUCAAAAAGCCAUAAUUUUUGUGAGAUCUUGAGCCUUUAGAGCAUAUUUUAUUCCUUUCACGCUCACUUUCAUUAUGAGUGCGUCAGUUUUGAUUUGUUAUUCUAGAACUUGCUUGAUUAUGCAUGUCAAGACCACACCAUUUGAUUUCAUAUGUCAAGAUGAUAAAGGCACUUAGGUUUAACCCACUCACUCCACAAAAGCCUACCUCCAUAAUUAACCCUUAGUGAACCCCUUUCGAGCCUAACAAGCCAUUAAUCGAUUUACCCUCAAUAUUAACCCAUAACCCAUUAUUGUUGAAAUCCCCUAAUUCGAUCCAUAUUUUUGUCGAGAUUUGAUUUGAACAAAUUGCUUAGCUAUGUUUUGUUCUUCUAUGUAUUUGACUUUUUCCUAAAAAAUACUUACAUACAUGUUAGUAGUAACUCAUCAUUUUUUAGCUUGGGUGUUAAUUCCAUAUUCUGAGAAGAAGCUCACUUGUAUUCAAUUGAUGACUAGUUAUUUUUCUAGCUAGGAAAUUUUUCAAUUCAAUCUCGAUUCUAACCUCUUCUUUCAGCUUGUGACCACCCCCUAACCAAAGCCACAGUACAACCCUCUAAAAGACAUUUUUGAUUGAUGUAUCAGCUCAAUAUAUAGUGGUGGAGAUUUAAUUUUCAAGUAAGCCUAUGGUAAUAACUUUUCAUAUUGACUAAUGAGUGCUUUAAUUGAUGUCCUUAAACAACUUGAGUGAUUUGAGUGAAUCUUUAGUGAGGAUGUUAUUUUGAUCAAAGGUAAUCACUUAGAUGAGGGGAGACACCUAUGUUUUCGUGAUAAAAUGCUCAACUUAGAAUGCUUGAAACUUUGAUAUACUUUUAGUUGAAUUUUCAAUGUAUGAGUACUUAUGGAUUAUUUUGAGAUAUUAUUGAUAUGGAUUAUAAAUUGAGAAGAAUUUAUUUUGACCAUGAGUUGAGGAUUUUGCUUGAGGGCAAGCAAAUACUUAAGUUUGGGGGUAUUUGAUAAACUGUAAUUUAUACAUAUUUUUAUCCCAUACUUAGCCCAUUUAUGAAUGGUUUCUCCUUAGAUUUGGUGAAUUCUAUGCUCCUAAUCCUUUAAUUUCAUGUUUUAUACUUAGGUGAGCAUAGGAGAAUAAAAAGAGCGAGAAACGGGCCGAAAAUGGAGAAAAUGAACCCACGUGGGAAAUCAACACGGCCUGGACUUCCUCACACGGGCGUGUCACACAGCCGUGUCCAUUUGACAGAAUUGAAGCACGACUUACACGGGUAGACUACACGCCCGUGCCUAUUCAACAGCCUUGACCACGGGCUGGAGUAAUCACACACGGGCGUGUCCCUGCCGAGCCUAAGUAUAGUCCUAUUCGGAAAAGGCCAAUUUCUAGGGCUCUUGGGCAUUCAAAAGCCUAUUUAAACACCUGAAGAGGCACUUAAGAGGAGAGACGCAGAGUAGGAAGUAAGGAAUUACUAAAGGAAAGCAGAUUGAUCCAUCUCAGAAGCCAGAUUCAUCAUCAAAAUUGAAGAUCUCCCUUCAAGUUCCUUCAAGAGUUUUGGGUUUUCUUAUGUUUUGUUAUCUUUAUGCUUUUAAGAUGUUUUCUUUCGUAAGUAUGAAUUAAACCCCCUAAAUACCUAAAGGGAAUGAAACCUAAGACGGAUCUUGUUAUUAUUAUCUGAAUUGUAUGAUAAAUAUUUGACUUGUUCUUAAUUAUGUGUUCUUAAUUCUUGUUUUAAUAUUCCAGGAUAUAAAUUCAAGUUAAGCUCUUAUUCAGAGGAGGAAUAGACCCUGUCUAAGAGUAUAAUUUUCAUAAUUAAGUGGAGUUGAUUGCGCACCUAGAGAUAGGGUGACAAGAUUUUGCCGAAUUAAGGUGAAACCUAAUAAGGAAAUCAAUAGAUCGAGUUAAUGCAAUUCUAGGGUGUUAAUUAGAAAGAGAUUUCAAUUAUUCAACCUAGGAUUAGACGUUAUUAGUCUCGAGAGAGAUAAUAAUAUAACUUAGGAAUUUCUACGGAUCAAGUCAAAUGAAUAAAUCGUCUGAUUCAGAGUCAAAUAACAAGUGAAGUCUAGAUGGAUUUUUCCUUAGGUAUUGUCUUAAUCAAUCGAAUUUUCCCAAAAGUAUUUUCCCAAAUUUUCUUUCUGUGCAAUCUUAGUUUAGUAUUUAGUUUAAAUAACCAAACCUCUUAAUUUUUAGGCUAGAUAAUAAAAAGGAAGUAAAUACUAGUACUCGUGGUUCCUUUAGGUUCGACAAUCCGGUCUUGCUGAACUAUACUACUGUUCGAUAGGUACACUUGCCUUAAUCGUGAUAAUAAGUUAGUCUCAAGAACGAUUCAUUCAUAAAUCAUUAAAACCUGUCACGAAUAUCACAUACCAAUAGCUUGUACUAGGUGAGAAAUUUCGAGGACGAAAGUUUUGUAAAGGGGAAGAGUUGUAAUAGCCCAUUUUUCAGUGGUGUCGGAAGCAGUAGUUUCAGGGCCACCAAAUCCGACGAGUAAGUUAGUAAAUAUUAUUAUUUAAUAUUUACGAGAGAAGUAUGAUUUUUAAAAAGGUUUUUUAUUUCAUAAUUUAUGUUAUAUAAGUGAUUUAUUAAGUUCAAGUGGUUUUAGAAAAUAGGGUAUCGGGGCCUUGUUUUUAUAAACCAAGCAGUAAAUAUUUUUAUAAAUAUUUACUGUCUGUCAUUAAGGUGGUCUUAAAGUUUCAUUAAAAAAUUUUAACGUUUCGAUAGUUAAUUUAUUAAAAAGGACCAAAUUAAAAAAAGUGCAUUCCUGGGACUCUGUUCCCGUAAAUCAAACUCAAAAUAUUUACGAAGCUAGUUGUGUAGUUAAUUAGGUUUCGGUUAAGUGAAUUUCCUUGAAUUAAAAGUAAUUAGGUAUAAGGACAAAUUUGCAUAUAGGGUGAAAGUUGAAUUAUAGAUUAAAGAAAAAUUAAAGGGACUAAAGAGGUAAUUAUGCCAUUGGAAUUAAUUGAGGCGGCAUGAGUAAGAUAUUUGUGAAUUUAUUAUUAUAUAUAUUAUAAAAUAAAAACAUUAAGUAUAUAUAUUAUAUUAUAUAAUAAAAAAUUAAUGUAUAAUAAAACAAAAUAAAAGAAAAAGAAAAAGAAAUAAAGUGAAACAAAACAAAAAGAAAAAAAAGAAAGAAAGAAAGAAGGAGAAAUGAGAAAGCUAGGGUUUCAAUUGUUCAAAACUCAAUCUGUUAGUCAAUUUAGUCCAUUUUCUUGUAAUUUUUAUGUUUUUGAAAUUCCGAUAUUAAAUACUACCCGACCCAUGUCAAAAUUUUAGAAAUCAUUGAGUUUUUAGGUGUUGCUAAUGUUGAGUAAUUUUAGUAUUAGGGACUAAAUUGGUAGAUUUUCAAGUUAGAAAUGAAAAAGGAUUGAAUUGUAGAAUAAAUUGUAAAUUUUGAGUAAUAGGGAUUAAAUUGUGAAAAUUAUAAAAUUUAGGGAUUCAAGUGAAAUUAGAGAGUUAAAUCUAGUUGAAAGUGGAAAUUGAAUAAAAAUAUAGAAUUGAUUGUGAAGAAAUAAAAUUAGUCUCGGUUCAGGGACUAAAUUGGAAUUUAGACAAAUAUUGAGUAAAAAGUUAAAAUAUUCAAGCUCUAUUUGUUUACCAGGAAAACAUUUUUCGAAAAAUGUUUUCCUAGUUUUACGGUGCUUGGUAGCCUAAAAAUAUUUUACAUUUGGAAAACAUUUUCCAUAGCACGGGUAAAACUGUUUUAGGGAAAAUGCCUUAAAGAUUUUUUUCCGUCAGACAUUUUCCAUCUCCUUCUUUAUCCGGGUAAAAUCCUUCUCCUUUCCUUCCGUUCUUCAUCAUCUUUCUCUCUUUUUGCAAAUCUCAUUCUUCAUUUUCUCUCUUUUUGAGGCAAAGGAAAAUCUCAUUCCUCUCUUUCUCAAGCAACUCUAAUUCUUCUUUGCAAGGUCUUGGCUUAAGGUAUGGCAUCUUCUUGUUCUUUUUUUUUGGGGGGGGUUGGGUAAAUUCAUCUAUUUAGGGUUUUUUUGAAUGUUCUUAUUGUUCUCAUAGUUUUUGACAAAAAUAUACGCUUUUUUUUAUUUUUUUUGACGAAUCUCAAAUCAUGAGGCCGAAUCUCAAUUACUUAAAUAUGUAGGUCUUGCUCUUUUUCCCUGAAUUUAUAGAAUGAAAUCCCAGACAAGCAGAGCUGAUCAAAUGUUUUGAAUGUUUCUAGCAAUAAGUUGUCUGAUGUCUAGGUCACGCCUAAUAGAUGCUCAUUUUAUAAGCAAUGCGAACUUGCAUAUUAAACAAAUCAUCAAAAUAUGACAUUAUCAUUCAGUAGAAACUUUGAUUUGUUAUAUGGUUAUAGAAAUUGAGUAGGGUAGAAGUGAACCGUAUGGUCAAAACUAAGCAAAUGAGCUUUGGUUUAAGUUUGUUUUUAUACUUCUAUUGAGCUAAAUUUGUUUGAAACUACUUGGAUUCAAAGAGUAUAUACACCCAUGUCUCACACUUUUCAAUAUUCAAAACUCUCUUCUAGUCAUAUAGGAAACAUAAGCAUCCUUGCUUUCCAUAGAUGAAGAAACGAAGAGUUGAGAAAGAUGAGUGAAUUAAGGUUAUCUUGUAGAAUUUGGUGUAGGGAAUUGAUGAAGUUGGUUCAACACUAUUUGGCAGGUUGCUUGGUUUUAGUUGAUGGAUUAGUCCAAACAUCAAAACAGCUGCCAUAAUGUAAUAUUAGAUGAAAGAUGAAAGCAUCAGCAUCUUUUUCUUUUUCAAGCUAAUUAAUAUGGUUUUGGGCUUUGAGACUAUAUAGCUCCCCCAAUUCAAGCAGGGAUUUUUGUGUAAAUAAAUUACUUUUGCUCUUUUUUUUUUUUGUUGUUUUUAAUUUGUUCAAACUUUUUUUAACCAUUGAAAAUACGUAAGAUGCCAAAAAAUAUGAAAUCUUAUCAGGUAGAUUCUCGGAAAUCUAAGCCAUCUAAUGAAGCAAUGGAUGCCUUCCUUACCCUGUCUCAUUUUUACAGAACUUGUAGAAGUUACUGAUAGAAGUUUAUGAAGUAUAUCAAGGAUUACUACUAUUUUCUAUGAGAUACAAAACAUAAAAAAUGCUUGAAAAUUAUACAUUCUUGAAGACACAUACCUCAAACUGUUCUUGGAUAACUUUAGCCAGCUGUAAUUCAUGUUUCAAUACUUGAACACCGUACAAAAAAUGCAAUUAAAAUCAUAAAUGUGAGACUUCUGAAGUUUAACUCCACUCAUUUUUUUUUCUUCUUUCUUAGAGUUUCUCAAGGUGAGAAAUAGAGAUAAGAACAGAGAGUGAUAAAGAGAGACAAAGACAGAAGUGAAGCUUGUGCUUUGAGAGCAAAAAUAAUAUGUGAUGGUUGGUGUUUAUAUAGGGAGAAGAUUUCAAAGCAAUAAGGACUAUUAAGACAUAAUGCAAAAAAUUUAAAAAGAAAAUGCUUUGAUAAUCCUUUUCAUUCAUACUUCAUAUAAAAUUUUAAGGUAGCAAAUCCUUUAUAAAAAUAUAUAAUAUUUAAAAUAAGGUUAUAAGACAUUAUUAUAAUCUAAUUUACAUGUCCCAUGCAUGUGAAUCAUUCAAUUUCUUGAUGACUAAUACAUAACAUCUAUUCUAUAUAUUUCAAUACCUGACACCUAUCGUCCUAGCUAUUAUAGGUAAAUAGACCAACAAUGAAAAGCAAUGUAUCGUCCUAGAUUUUUCUUUUCCUAAGACUGAACUUUCAUCAGAUGGAAGAUCAGAUUUUAGUCAUGUGCAUGUGUUUUUCAUCCACAGUCUACCACAUUUCGGUUGUAAUGACCCGAAUUUUUACUGUUAUCAAAAAAGUACAUUUUCGGGUCUCCGUUUCUGAAAAAUAGAUUUGUA
RNAcentral lists this long non-coding RNA (22240 nucleotides) under Gossypium barbadense (sea-island cotton). RNAcentral describes it as "long non-coding RNA (GBAR_LNC010805)". Lineage: Eukaryota; Viridiplantae; Streptophyta; Magnoliopsida; Malvales; Malvaceae. The record is from RNAcentral.